Molecule: long non-coding RNA, 2164 nt
Filed under: Pogona vitticeps (central bearded dragon)
Lineage: Eukaryota; Metazoa; Chordata; Lepidosauria; Squamata; Agamidae
Description: lncRNA (ENSPVIG00000020499.1)
Source: RNAcentral
GGGAAGGGGGCGGGGAAAGGGGCGGGGCCUGGGGGAACGGGCAGGAGGGGCCGAAGGCAGGGAGCACGUGGAGGAGGAGGAAGGGGGAGGAGGGAUCCGGUGGAUCCCCGUGCGGCGGCGGCGGCGGCGCGGGAUCUGCUCGGGCAAUGGAAUCAGAUUCCGUGAUCCCAAGAAAUCCUGGUGUUGGAAUGUGAGCAAAAGAGGGGAAGGAGUUCUCUUUUUCUGGAUUGUUCUGGGGAUUCUGGGCAUUGUAGUCCCCAAAAGAAAGGAAGGACGAGGAACGGUUCCUUGCGUUCUUCUUAAGGAGAAAGGAAGGAUGAAAAGGGUUUAAAAAUAAAUGUCUACAAACACACACACCAAAAGGGUAGCGAGACACCAAAGCCCAUCGUCCCCAGCCAGCACGACCGGAAGGGCGGGGGAGGCACCAGAGUUGGGGAAGCUGGCUGUUUCCAGGUAGUCCCUUUCCACUGCUUUGGGGGGGGGGAAGCUCGACUCAAGGGACACCCCCAGCACCCAAGACGGUUCAGGCCCCUCCAGAAGCUGAGAUGCGUGGACUAUGUUGGACGACACUUUCCAGCGACACAUGGGCCAUGCCGGCUUAGGGGAUUAUGGGAGGGUGGGAAAGGGUGUUCUCCUUCCUCCUCCUGCUCCUCAAAGGAAGGAACCGGGUUUUGCAGUGACCCAGAAUCCAAAGGAAAGUGGGCCGCGCUCCCUGGCCAAGGGGGAAAAGGCUGGCGCAGCUGCAACCGCAGCCAGAGGCCUGGGUACCAGUGGGGAGAGGAUGCUGCUGCUGCUGCUAGGCUCUGAUUGGUGCAGAGGGAUGCCGGGAGUCCCCUCCUCCCAUCCUCCUUCGCUCCCAGGGAGGAUGCUCAGGGAUUAGGGAAGCCACCUCCUGGAGCAGCUGCUCCCUCCCUCCCUCCCCACCCCGACCCCUUUCUGACUGACACACACUCCUCUCUGAUGGAAGGGGUGCAGGCGAGAUGAAUGCUCCUGGGAUCCAUCGGGGUUACCUCCGCAAAUAUGUCCUUUGCAGGGGGCUUCCUCUUUAAGCAGUGGAAGGAGAAAUACCUCAUCCUCUCGCUGGACGGGAGCCUCCUCGUCUGCCCGGACGCCAACUCCCCGGCCGAGCUGGACCUUCCCCUGGCUGCCAGCUGUGAAGCCAUCCUGGAGGGCAGCGAGAUCGGCGACCUUCCCCGGCUGCCGCUGGGGGCCCAGAGGGACAGCUGCCUGGGGCUGGACCUUCGCGACGGGAAGAGCCUGCUGCUGCUCGCCUCCAGCAGCCAGGAAUGCAGACAAUGGCUCAAUAUCUUAAGAAAAGUUAAAGAGAGUGUCUCUCAGGGGUCUCCCUCCAGUUGCAAGCUCCAUAUCAACUCGCCAGUGAGAAAAUGUCACGGGAAAGGAGGAGGAGGGAAUGGCAGAGCAUCUCCUAAUGGCACAGAGAUACGAGAAGCUGCCUGUUCCCCGCAUUGCUUACGCCACGGAUCCCCGGCCCGCGCAGGAGUGAGGGCAGCUUGCGUCUUGAUGGGCGGUGCCGCUGCUGGCCCCACCAUGGGCUACAUGGUCACCUCGUCCACAGCGGGGCACCCUGUGGAAUCACACCCGCCAGACUUCAAGGAAUUGGGCUACCACCCGUCUGCCUGCAACUCCGAAUCUCAGUACGAAGCCCUGGAUUAUGAGGGGCUGGAUCAGGACUUCGAUAUGCUAGAUUUGGGAGGGUUUGCCUUUUAAGGUACAAGGUGGCAUCCCCCAAAUGGCAGCUCUAAAGGGCUUAAGUUGAGAAAAUGGCCGGCCUCUUUGCCUGGCAUCAUGCACCAUCCAUGGCAAGGAGACACUGCAUGGCAUGGUCUCUGGUACGUUGUCUUAAAAGGUUGGUGUUCAUGUUGUUGUUUGUCUGAUCCUAAUGUCUUUGUGAUCAAGAUAAUGGGAUAGGGUGUUACAUUCCAACUCGCCGGAGGGAUCCGAGAAGGGCAUGUGUUUCCUCCCUGUUCUCUGUGUUCUUCCUCCUUCUCUAUUAAACACUGUCUCUUUUUCACCUGCUGGUCUCGAGGUGUUAAUAAGCAACAGACGUGGGCUGUAGCUACCCACCUCCCUAGAAUAACCUUAGAGCCAAAAGGAAAAAAAACCCAGCUUGUCUCCCAUCGCAUGGGCAAGGUGGUCCACAGCC